This 120-nucleotide ribosomal RNA is filed under the name Penicillium flavigenum. Lineage: Eukaryota; Fungi; Ascomycota; Eurotiomycetes; Eurotiales; Aspergillaceae. The record is from RNAcentral.
ACAUAUGACCAUAGGGUGUGGAAAACAGGGCUUCCCGUCCGCUCAGCCGUACUUAAGCCACACGCCGGUGAGUUAGUAGUUGGGUGGGUGACCACCAGCGAAUCCUCACUGUUGUAUGUU